Molecule: non-coding RNA, 77 nt
Filed under: Oxyrrhis marina
Lineage: Eukaryota; Dinophyceae; Oxyrrhinales; Oxyrrhinaceae
Source: RNAcentral
GCUGGGUGUGGUGGUGCGUGCCUGUAAUCCCAGCUACUUGGGAGGCUGAGGCAGGAGAAUUGCUUGAACCCAGAAGG